RNAcentral lists this ribosomal RNA (432 nucleotides) under Triticum aestivum (bread wheat). Its description in RNAcentral is "partial small subunit ribosomal RNA". Lineage: Eukaryota; Viridiplantae; Streptophyta; Magnoliopsida; Poales; Poaceae. The record is from RNAcentral.
AUGCUCUCCAUGUCGAGGGUGCUCGCGAGGCGGCUCUUCUCCACCGCCGCGCCCGAGGGCGCCGCCGCCGCCUCGACGUCGCUGGCGAGGAAGGCGCAGAACCCCCUCGAGGAGUUGUUCGAGGUCGAGCGGAGCACCGAGGACGACCAGCCCGCUCCCCACUACGGUCGUGGUUGGAAGGCUUCUGAAUUACGCCUCAAGUCUUGGGACGACCUUCAUAAGCUGUGGUAUGUCCUGCUAAAGGAGAAGAACAUGCUCAUGUCUCAACGCCAGAUGCUGGCUUCAGAGAGCAUGCGCUUCCCAAACCCGGAGCGCAUUUCCAAGGUGAGGAGAUCGAUGUGCCGGAUCAAGCACGUGCUGACGGAGCGGGCCAUUGCGGACCCUGACCCGCGGAGGACUGCGGAGAUGAAGCGGAUGAUCAACGCCAUGUGA